Molecule: ribosomal RNA, 2883 nt
Filed under: Aeromonas hydrophila
Lineage: Bacteria; Pseudomonadati; Pseudomonadota; Gammaproteobacteria; Aeromonadales; Aeromonadaceae
Description: 23S ribosomal RNA
Rfam family: Bacterial large subunit ribosomal RNA
Source: RNAcentral
UUAAGUGACUAAGCGUACAUGGUGGAUGCCUUGGCAGUCAGAGGCGAUGAAGGACGUACUAACCUGCGAUAAGCCGUGAGCAGUCGGUAAGAGACAUUACGACUCACGGAUUUCCGAAUGGGGAAACCCACUUAGCAUAAGCUAGGUAUCGCUACGUGAAUACAUAGCGUAGCGAGGCGAACCGGGAGAACUGAAACAUCUAAGUACCCCGAGGAAAAGAAAUCAACCGAGAUUCCCUCAGUAGCGGCGAGCGAACGGGGAUUAGCCCUUAAGCAUCUUGGAAGUUAGUGGAACGGUCCUGGAAAGGCCGGCGAUACAGGGUGAUAGCCCCGUACACGAAAACAACCUUGAUGUGAAAUCGAGUAGGGCGGGACACGUGACAUCCUGUCUGAAUAUGGGGGACCAUCCUCCAAGGCUAAAUACUCCUGACUGACCGAUAGUGAACCAGUACCGUGAGGGAAAGGCGAAAAGAACCCCUGUGAGGGGAGUGAAAUAGAACCUGAAACCGUGUACGUACAAGCAGUGGGAGCCCUUCGGGGUGACUGCGUACCUUUUGUAUAAUGGGUCAGCGACUUACAUUUUGUAGCGAGGUUAACCGUAUAGGGGAGCCGUAGGGAAACCGAGUCUUAACUGGGCGUCUAGUUGCAAGGUGUAGACCCGAAACCGGGUGAUCUAGCCAUGGGCAGGUUGAAGGUUGAGUAACAUCAACUGGAGGACCGAACCCACUAACGUUGCAAAGUUAGGGGAUGACCUGUGGCUGGGGGUGAAAGGCCAAUCAAACUCGGAGAUAGCUGGUUCUCCCCGAAAGCUAUUUAGGUAGCGCCUCGGACGAAUACUACUGGGGGUAGAGCACUGUUUGGGCUAGGGGGUCAUCCCGACUUACCAACCCCAUGCAAACUCCGAAUACCAGUAAGUAAUAUCCGGGAGACACACGGCGGGUGCUAACGUCCGUCGUGAAGAGGGAAACAACCCAGACCGCCGGCUAAGGUCCCAAAGUUCUGGUUAAGUGGGAAACGAUGUGGGAAGGCUCAGACAGCUAGGAUGUUGGCUUAGAAGCAGCCAUCAUUUAAAGAAAGCGUAAUAGCUCACUAGUCGAGUCGGCCUGCGCGGAAGAUGUAACGGGGCUCAAACCAGGCACCGAAGCCGCGGAUUCACACUAAGUGUGAGUGGUAGGGGAGCGUUCUGUAAGUCUGCGAAGGUGUGUCGAGAGGCAUGCUGGAGAUAUCAGAAGUGCGAAUGCUGACGUAAGUAACGAUAAAGGGGGUGAAAAGCCUCCUCGCCGGAAGACCAAGGGUUCCUGUCCAACGUUAAUCGGGGCAGGGUGAGUCGACCCCUAAGGCGAGGCCGAAAGGCGUAGUCGAUGGGAAGCAGGUUAAUAUUCCUGCACGACUUGUAAUUGCGAUGGGGGACGGAGAAGGCUAGGUGGGCCAGGCGACGGUUGUCCUGGUGAAAGUGCGUAGGUGGUGUUUCUAGGCAAAUCCGGAGACACAACACUGAGACACGAGACGAACACACUACGGUGUGGAAGCCAUUGAUGCCCUGCUUCCAGGAAAAGCCUCUAAGCUUCAGAUUACAAGUCAUCGUACCCCAAACCGACACAGGUGGUCGGGUAGAGAAUACCAAGGCGCUUGAGAGAACUCGGGUGAAGGAACUAGGCAAAAUAGAACCGUAACUUCGGGAGAAGGUUCGCUCUUGACAGUGAAGUCCCUUGCGGAUGGAGCAGUUGGGAGUCGCAGUGACCAGAUGGCUGGGACUGUUUAUCAAAAACACAGCACUCUGCAAACACGAAAGUGGACGUAUAGGGUGUGACACCUGCCCGGUGCCGGAAGGUUAAUUGAUGGGGUUAGCGCAAGCGAAGCUCUUGAUCGAAGCCCCGGUAAACGGCGGCCGUAACUAUAACGGUCCUAAGGUAGCGAAAUUCCUUGUCGGGUAAGUUCCGACCUGCACGAAUGGUGUAACCAUGGCCAUGCUGUCUCCACCCGAGACUCAGUGAAAUCGAAUUCGCCGUGAAGAUGCGGUGUACCCGCGGCUAGACGGAAAGACCCCGUGAACCUUUACUACAGCUUGGCACUGAACAUUGAACCUACAUGUGUAGGAUAGGUGGGAGGCUUUGAAGGCGUGACGCCAGUUGCGCUGGAGCCGUCCUUGAAAUACCACCCUUGUAUGUUUGAUGUUCUAACGCAGGCCCGUGAAUCCGGGUCGCGGACAGUGCCUGGUGGGUAGUUUGACUGGGGCGGUCUCCUCCCAAAGAGUAACGGAGGAGCACGAAGGUUGGCUAAUCCUGGUCGGACAUCAGGAGGUUAGUGCAAUGGCAUAAGCCAGCUUAACUGCGAGACGGACAGGUCGAGCAGGUACGAAAGUAGGUCAUAGUGAUCCGGUGGUUCUGAAUGGAAGGGCCAUCGCUCAACGGAUAAAAGGUACUCCGGGGAUAACAGGCUGAUACCGCCCAAGAGUUCAUAUCGACGGCGGUGUUUGGCACCUCGAUGUCGGCUCAUCACAUCCUGGGGCUGAAGUCGGUCCCAAGGGUAUGGCUGUUCGCCAUUUAAAGUGGUACGCGAGCUGGGUUCAGAACGUCGUGAGACAGUUCGGUCCCUAUCUGCCGUGGGCGUUGGAUGAUUGAAGGGAGUUGCUCCUAGUACGAGAGGACCGGAGUGAACGAACCUCUGGUGUUCGGGUUGUCACGCCAGUGGCACUGCCCGGUAGCUAAGUUCGGAAUCGAUAACCGCUGAAAGCAUCUAAGCGGGAAGCGAGCCCUGAGAUGAGUCAUCCCUGACCCCUUGAGGGUCCUAAAGGGCCGUUGGAGACCACAACGUUGAUAGGUGGGGUGUGUAAGCGCGGCGACGUGUUGAGCUAACCCAUACUAAUUACCCGUGAGGCUUAACC